UACGGAGGAUCCAAGCGUUAUCCGGAUUUAUUGGGUUUAAAGGGUGCGUAGGCGGUUUUAUAAGUUAGAGGUGAAAAUUCGGGGCUCAACUCCUGACGUGCCUCUAAUACUGUAUGACUAGAGAAUAGAUGCGGUAGGCGGAAUGUAUGGUGUAGCGGUGAAAUGCGUAGAGAUCAUACAGAACACCGAUUGCGAAGGCAGCUUACCAAACUAUAUCUGACGUUGAGGCACGAAAGCGUGGGGAGCAAACAGG
This 253-nucleotide ribosomal RNA is filed under the name uncultured bacterium. Its description in RNAcentral is "partial 16S ribosomal RNA". It matches the Rfam family "Bacterial small subunit ribosomal RNA", at positions 524 to 776 of the family's 1533-position model. The record is from RNAcentral.